CGACGUAGGUAACCUGCCUGGUAGCGGGGGAUAACUAAUUGGAAACGAUAGCUAAUACCGCAUAAUAUUAAUUAUUGCAUGAUAAUUAAAUUGAAAGGUGCAAUUGCACCACUACCAGAUGGACCUGCGUUGUAUUAGCUAGUAGGUGAGGUAACGGCUCACCUAGGCGACGAUACAUAGCCGACCUGAGAGGGUGAUCGGCCACACUGGGACUGAGACACGGCCCAG
Molecule: ribosomal RNA, 228 nt
Filed under: uncultured bacterium
Lineage: Bacteria
Description: partial 16S ribosomal RNA
Rfam family: Bacterial small subunit ribosomal RNA
Source: RNAcentral